RNAcentral lists this long non-coding RNA (1717 nucleotides) under Numida meleagris (helmeted guineafowl). Its description in RNAcentral is "lncRNA (ENSNMEG00000010441.1)". Lineage: Eukaryota; Metazoa; Chordata; Aves; Galliformes; Numididae. The record is from RNAcentral.
UUACAGUGUAAAUAUAAUUACUGUGACAUAGAUUUGCUUUGGUUCACUGAGCUGGCAAUGAGCAAGCUUUACAGCAUUGUAUCUUUUUGUUCUUGCUUAAAUUGCCUUUCUAGUAGGUGGUUGGAGCUAGAACCCAGACCACAGCUGCAGUCCCAAUGUGCUGUUGUAACAGUAUUAGCAUAUAAAGUAGAUAUCAUUGCAGAGUGCAGGGCUGAUUCCUACCGGCCCUAUGCGCUGUGAGUGUAGCGGGAAAGGUCCAUUUCAGUGUGCUUGGCACAGCAGGAACCUGCUGACUUGGCAGUACCUGCAGGAGACUCCGUGCUUUUCAGUGGUGGCUGCUCUACACUCCUGGAUUUUGCCGCCUUGCCAGCAGCACUGGGACCAGAACAAGCAGAGAAGUGUUUUCCAUGGAAAUCUUCUUUCCUAGAUUGAAUGACCCUUAUGCACUGUGUCUUUCCUGGUUGCACAGACAGGUCUGUACCAACAAGUGUUUCUCCUGAAGGAACCUAGAGCAUCUGGACAGGUCUGAGUGGGUCUGGUGUGGAAACGCAGUCCUGGGGAGCUCAGAUACAUGACAGUGCUUAUACAAGUAGUUAACCUAAGAAUAUUGACUACGCCUAUGCAUGUGUUUGCCCUAAUAGCACUGGUCUGAAUCCGAUAUACUUAUUGCCUCCAGAGGAGGCUGGCGGCCAUUUUGUCAGCCCAGAGCUGCUGCUGCAGCUAUGCAGCAGCUUCUUCACUGCUGGUUUCUCUCCAUGUAAACCUUCCUCCCUUACCACAUGUGCCCCCAGGCCCCUGUUUGCCACUCUUUGUCUUUUAGGGGGAAAAAGCCAAGUGUGGGAGGCUGGAUGUUGUUCCCUCUGCUGCCUGAGGGACCCUCUUGUGGCUUCCGGAAGGUUCCACAGAGCUUCCUGUCAGUGCCGUGGGACAGCCAGCGCCUCGCUUAUGACCUGUGGACGAGGGUGCUUCUGUGGCUGUCCAAAAAAAAAGGGAUAAAAAAAUGCUGGAAACAGCACAGCUGGAGAGCACGUAAUACUGCUGAAGAGAUGCAAAGAGAAGAUGCAGUUCUAUUAAGAGAUUUCAUGAGUACGCACAGCUAUGCAGGACAAAAGGACAACUUCUUCAUGAAAAGAAAUACUGUUGCUGGCUCAGACUUGGUGAGAGAAAGAGAUACGGAUACAUUGUAUAUCAGUGGAAGAAGACAUGAGAAGAAGAAAUACAGAGGCCUUCUUAUUCUUCCGAAGGAAGAGAAUAAGGAAUAAGAGGAAGCCGAAGCUUAGUGUGGUGGUGACAGGACCAAAUCCCUAGUUCAUGUUACCUGUUCAUGGAGAGGUCUACAGCUGUUGUGUCUGAUGCGAAGGAUUGUUCCAGCCCCUUCUUGCUGCCAAGAAACAUCGUGCUGAAGGAGGUAGAUGGUCCUCACCAUGGGCUUUUCUGCUGGGAAGCUCAAGAGCUACGAGCAGCUACUGCCUAGGAAGUAGCUUCUUGUAGCUACUGCAUGCCUAGGAAUGAUUAGCGCAGCUCUUGCACGUCCCAGAGGCUUUCUUUGCUGCUGCAUCCUCCCUGGAGAGGCUUUUCACCUUAGCCCUCUGCUAGAAUGUGCCUUAAAGGCAUAAUCGAGCUCGUAAAAAUUAAGUGGUGUGCAAUCGUUAAAAACAAAACAAAACAAGAAGACCCUAACUAAAUUUAGUUCAAUAAAUUCUUAAGAAUCAAUCCA